GAUGAACGCUGGCGGCGUGCCUAAUACAUGCAAGUCGAGCGAACGGACGAGAAGCUUGCUUCUCUGAUGUUAGCGGCGGACGGGCGAGUAACACGUGGAUAACCUACCUAUAAGACUGGGAUAACUUCGGGAAACCGGAGCUAAUACCGGAUAAUAUUUUGAACCGCAUGGUUCAAAAGUGAAAGACGGUCUUGCUGUCACGUAUAGAUGGAUCCGCGCUGCAUUAGCUAGUUGGUAAGUUAACGGCUUACCAAGGCAACGAUGCAUAGCCGACCUGACAGGCUGAUCGGCCACACUGGAACUGAGACACGGUCCAGACUCCUACGGGAGGCAGCAGUAGGGAAUCUUACGCAAUGGGCGAAAGCCUGACGGAGCAACGCCGCGUGAGUGAUGACGGUCUUCGGAUCGUAAAACUCUGUUAUUAGGGAAGAACAUAUGUGUAAGUAACUGUGCCCAUCUUGACGGUACCUAAUCAGAAAGCCACGGCUAACUACGUG
This 497-nucleotide ribosomal RNA is filed under the name uncultured bacterium. Its description in RNAcentral is "partial 16S ribosomal RNA". It matches the Rfam family "Bacterial small subunit ribosomal RNA", at positions 28 to 507 of the family's 1533-position model. The record is from RNAcentral.